This 1331-nucleotide long non-coding RNA is filed under the name Gossypium barbadense (sea-island cotton). Its description in RNAcentral is "long non-coding RNA (GBAR_LNC000121)". Lineage: Eukaryota; Viridiplantae; Streptophyta; Magnoliopsida; Malvales; Malvaceae. The record is from RNAcentral.
GCUUGAUCAAAUCCUCUCCAAUCCAAUCCUUAAAAUAUAUUGUAAGCGGCCCAAUUUGCCCGGGCCCAUCAGAAGCAAUAAAAAAAAUAUAAAAAUAUAAUUUUUUUUAAAUUAAAUAGUCUAAAAAUAGUCCGCUUACAGUCUUUACUAGCCCAUACAAAAUAAAACCAAAUAAAUAAUCGAAGUCCCUUUAAACGGUCCAGGACCCAAUAACAGACCAAGCCUAAGACCCAAAACAUUAAAACCUAAUCCUAGCCCAUUACACAGCCCAAUAACCUAACCCAAAACUUAGUUCAUUGACUCUUUUCAGAAAGUGGAAACCCUAGGCCACUAAGCCGCCGUUCCUAUGCACCACAAACACCAUCAGCAGUCCCAAAUAGUGAAGCUUCUAGAAGACUUCGCGUCACGCCUCACGAAUGGCCUCGCCAUGUCAGCAACACCGCGCCAUACACACCUGCGAGAAGAAAAUAAUAGAAAACAACUCACAACAGAUUGACAGCAAAUAGAUCUAAGGGAAUUUUUUUAUAUUUUUAAUGAUUAUUAUUCUUUUUAUUCGGCUAUAAAAGCCUGUGAAAUCGAAUGUAAAAGGGGGUGAGCCCAGAAAAAUUACGGAUACAAAUCUAUACAAAAAAAAAAGAGUUUGAAUAAGAAAUCAUCUCGAGAGUAGUUUUUCACAAGGUGAUUUUAUUUUCUUUUCGAUUCAUCUCCUGUUUCUUAAAGCUUUGCUACUGCGUAUGAAACCAAAUAUAAAAAAAAAGUGAGUAAAGGGAAGAGACUUAUCCUUUUUUUGAAGCUUCGAAAUCCUUGUUUGCUUCGUGGUAAUCGAAGCCUAGAUGAGGAUUGAAGUUAAAGCCGAGAAAAUUUCGCGAAUUUGCGGCCAGUUAGGACCAGAUUAAGCCCUCGUUUGACGUCGUCCGUCGAAUAUGGAGACGAAGGGACAGUUGUGAAGCUUUAGAUUCGGCUGAAUGAAUAAGGCCUUAGGUUUUGGUUUUAUUUUGAUUUGCUUUUAUUAGUUUUAGGUUUUUUUUUUACCUUGAUUUGUGCAGAACAUGAAACGGUGUCGUCUGGAGGGAGAAGAUCCGCGCGCCGACCAGUUUCAUGACCCGAAUCUGUGACUUUUUACCUCGAAUAGUCAAAUUGUGCGACUAGUCCUUUGUUUUCGCGCAGAUCUUUAAAUUAAUUCUUAUUUUCAUUUCAUUUCAUUUCAAAUUUGUCAUAGAGUUUGCGUGUCUUUGCAAUUUAGUCUGCGCUUACACGCUAUGUUUUAGGAUCUGGAAUAUUUUCACUUUUGAUCCCUGGACAUUGGCGUGUAUUGCACUUUAGCCAUUUAC